RNAcentral lists this ribosomal RNA (518 nucleotides) under uncultured Staphylococcus sp. Its description in RNAcentral is "bacterial SSU rRNA". It matches the Rfam family "Bacterial small subunit ribosomal RNA", at positions 8 to 507 of the family's 1533-position model. Lineage: Bacteria; Bacillati; Bacillota; Bacilli; Caryophanales; Staphylococcaceae. The record is from RNAcentral.
AGAGUUUGAUCCUGGCUCAGGAUGAACGCUGGCGGCGUGCCUAAUACAUGCAAGUCGAGCGAACAGAUAAGGAGCUUGCUCCUUUGAAGUUAGCGGCGGACGGGUGAGUAACACGUGGGUAACCUACCUAUAAGACUGGGAUAACUUCGGGAAACCGGAGCUAAUACCGGAUAACAUUUAGAACCGCAUGGUUCUAAAGUGAAAGAUGGUUUUGCUAUCACUUAUAGAUGGACCCGCGCCGUAUUAGCUAGUUGGUAAGGUAACGGCUUACCAAGGCGACGAUACGUAGCCGACCUGAGAGGGUGAUCGGCCACACUGGAACUGAGACACGGUCCAGACUCCUACGGGAGGGCAGCAGUAGGGAAUCUUCCGCAAUGGGCGAAAGCCUGACGGAGCAACGCCGCGUGAGUGAUGAAGGGUUUCGGCUCGUAAAACUCUGUUAUUAGGGAAGAACAAAUGUGUAAGUAACUGUGCACAUCUUGACGGUACCUAAUCAGAAAGCCACGGCUAACUACGUG